UUAAUUCAUGCAAAAACAUCAUUUUAUUGACAUAGUAAUUAACAUACAGGAAAGUGGAGAAAGAACAAUAUCGUCCAAGCCAUCUCCAGCAGAUGAAGCAAUACAAGUUCUGGUAAAUGCCUACAAAUCCUCCAAUACUUCUGAAAAUGCCAAAAAGGAAAUGCAAGACAUAAAUGAAAUGGGUGGAGUGAUGAUCAGAAGAAACCAAGCUAGUUUCCUGACAAAGGUGUUUGUACUCACCAGAAGAUCGUUUGUGAACAUGUAUAGAGACGUCGGAUACUACUGGCUACGUCUUGGCAUCUAUAUUUCCAUUAGUCUAUGCCUUGGUACCAUAUAUUACAAUUUUGGCUAUGGAUACGAUUCCAUCCGUUCUAGAUCAUCAAUGCUAAUGUUCACCAGUGGCCUUCUAACAUUAAUGGCAAUUGGAGGAUUCCCUUCCUUUGUGGAGGAAAUGAAGAUAUUCAGGAGAGAACGGCUAAAUGGGCAUUAUGGUGUGUCAGCAUUUGUGAUCUCCAAUUGGUUGUCAGCCACGCCAUAUCUUUUCCUUAUUGCUAUAUUACCUGGUGCAAUAGCCUACUACCUGUCUGGUCUAAAGAGAAGAGUAGACCAUUUUGUAUAUUUUACGCUUGUCCUUUGUUCGUGCACGAUGCUAGUUGAAGGCCUUAUGAUGACUGUAGCUGCUAUCGUGCCAGAUUUUCUGAUGGGCAUCAUCACAGGUG
This 719-nucleotide ribosomal RNA is filed under the name Triticum aestivum (bread wheat). RNAcentral's name for it is "partial small subunit ribosomal RNA". Lineage: Eukaryota; Viridiplantae; Streptophyta; Magnoliopsida; Poales; Poaceae. The record is from RNAcentral.